Vicia villosa (hairy vetch) is the source of this 839-nucleotide long non-coding RNA. RefSeq lists it as uncharacterized. Lineage: Eukaryota; Viridiplantae; Streptophyta; Magnoliopsida; Fabales; Fabaceae. The transcript has 3 exons. The record is from RefSeq and is a predicted model, not a curated record.
GAAACUCGACAACAAAAGUUGGAGAGCGUGAAUCCACAGAUACCAAUCCGACACAACAAGGUAUGCAUACUAUAGACAGUCUAAUGUACUGCUAUCAGAUACUGGGUGGCAUUGUAGUUUCUGUUUCCGCCGUAUCAGUGAUUUUGUGUUUAAGAUGAAAGCGUACAGCCACUACGAUCGGGUGAUACCCCUCUGCUUCCAAUGCAUUCGGAGAAAACUACAAUUGUGAUGAAAAAUUGGCAAUGAAUUUUAAAAAUCUACAAAGACGAAUGGCCCAUUCUGUUUCAAUUUCAUGCAGUUCUGGGGUCAACAUGUUGAAGAAUGAACUACAGAAGUAUAUAGCUGAGAACAUCACAAGCUAAUUGCUCUUAGCUGUAGCUGGUAAUUUGGACCAUAGGUUAGAUUUUGAUAUAUAUAAUGUAAUUAACUUACAAUUAUAUUGAUAAUCCUUUUGUAGGUACUGAAGUGAACGGUAACGAUUUGAACUUGAUACAUGUUUUCAACUGAACUGGAUAUCUUGAAUCAAUCAUGUGGUGCAUUGAAUUAGUGACAUGUUUUGGAAAUGGCAUGCUGAAUUCAGUAACUAUAGAAUAUGAAAUGCAGAAUUAUUGUAUUGCUUCUAGGGGUGCUGCCUUGAGAUCUUGGAAAUGGAAUAAUCAUUGGAUUCGACCGUAUUCGAAAGUGGCCCUUCAAAGUGGUAAUAUCUCUUUUGUGCCUUUGGAAUCGAACAUACUACGAGUUAAAGACAUUAUUGAUUAAUAUUUCUUGCUGAUUCCGAAUACAACUCAUGGGAUCUAAUCUGGGACUGUCACAACCAAAUCUGAGAGAUUAAUCUAUGU